Molecule: ribosomal RNA, 667 nt
Filed under: Nostoc sp. DS2_R1
Lineage: Bacteria; Bacillati; Cyanobacteriota; Cyanophyceae; Nostocales; Nostocaceae
Description: bacterial SSU rRNA
Rfam family: Bacterial small subunit ribosomal RNA
Source: RNAcentral
CGGACGGGUGAGUAACGCGUGAGAAUCUAGCUCUAGGUCGGGGACAACCACUGGAAACGGUGGCUAAUACCGGAUGUGCCGGAAGGUAAAAGGCUUGCUGCCUAGAGAUGAGCUCGCGUCUGAUUAGCUAGUUGGUGUGGUAAGAGCGCACCAAGGCGACGAUCAGUAGCUGGUCUGAGAGGAUGAUCAGCCACACUGGGACUGAGACACGGCCCAGACUCCUACGGGAGGCAGCAGUGGGGAAUUUUCCGCAAUGGGCGAAAGCCUGACGGAGCAAUACCGCGUGAGGGAGGAAGGCUCUUGGGUUGUAAACCUCUUUUCUCAAGGAAUAAGAUAUGAAGGUACUUGAGGAAUAAGCAUCGGCUAACUCCGUGCCAGCAGCCGCGGUAAUACGGAGGAUGCAAGCGUUAUCCGGAAUGAUUGGGCGUAAAGGGUCCGCAGGUGGCAUUGAAAGUCUGCUGUUAAAGAGUGAGGCUUAACCUCAUAAAAGCAGUGGAAACUACAAAGCUAGAGUGCGUUCGGGGUAGCAGGAAUUCCUGGUGUAGCGGUGAAAUGCGUAGAGAUCAGGAAGAACACCGGUGGCGAAAGCGUGCUACUAGGCCGUAACUGACACUGAGGGACGAAAGCUAGGGGAGCGAAUGGGAUUAGAUACCCCAGUAGUCCUAGC